AACCAUAGAAACCUGCGGAGUACCUGCGGAGGGAUCAUUACCGAGUUAUACAACUCCCAAACCCACUGUGAACCUUACCUCAGUUGCCUCGGCGGGAACGCCCCGGCCGCCUGCCCCCGCGCCGGCGCCGGACCCAGGCGCCCGCCGCAGGGACCCCAAACUCUCUUGCAUUACGCCCAGCGGGCGGAAUUUCUUCUCUGAGUUGCACAAGCAAAAACAAAUGAAUCAAAACUUUCAACA
Molecule: unclassified non-coding RNA, 240 nt
Filed under: soil metagenome
Description: partial contains 5.8S ribosomal RNA, internal transcribed spacer 2, and large subunit ribosomal RNA
Source: RNAcentral